UGGGGAAUAUUGGACAAUGGGCGCAAGCCUGAUCCAGCCAUGCCGCGUGAGUGAUGAAGGCCCUAGGGUUGUAAAGCUCUUUCAGCGAGGAGGAUAAUGACGUUACUCGCAGAAGAAGCCCCGGCUAACUUCGUGCCAGCAGCCGCGGUAAUACGAAGGGGGCUAGCGUUGUUCGGAAUCACUGGGCGUAAAGCGCACGUAGGCGGACUUUUAAGUCAGGGGUGAAAUCCCGGGGCUCAACCUCGGAACUGCCUUUGAUACUGGAAGUCUGGAGUCCGAGAGAGGUGAGUGGAACUCGAGUGUAGAGGUGAAAUUCGUAGAUAUUCGGAAGAAACACCAGUGGCGAAGGCGGCUCACUGGCUCGGUACUGACGCUGAGGUGCGAAAAGCGUGGGGAGCAAAACAGGAUUAGAUACCCUGGUAGUCCACGCCGUAAAACGAUGGAAGCUAGCCGUCAGGGUGCAUGCAUCUUGGUGCGCAGUUAACGCAUUAAGCUUCCCGCCUGGGGAGUACGGUCGCAAGAUUAAAAACUCAAAUGAAUUGACGGGGGUCAUA
RNAcentral lists this ribosomal RNA (554 nucleotides) under uncultured bacterium. RNAcentral describes it as "partial 16S ribosomal RNA". It matches the Rfam family "Bacterial small subunit ribosomal RNA", at positions 355 to 924 of the family's 1533-position model. The record is from RNAcentral.